AGAGUUUGAUCCUGGCUCAGGACGAACGCUGGCGGCGUGCUUAACACAUGCAAGUCGAGCGGUAAGGCCCUUCGGGGUACACGAGCGGCGAACGGGUGAGUAACACGUGGGUGACCUGCCCUCCACUUCGGGAUAAGCCUGGGAAACUGGGUCUAAUACCGGAUAUGACCUGCUGGUGCAUGCCGGUGGGUGGAAAGUUUUUUCGGUGGGGGAUGGGCCCGCGGUCUAUCAGCUUGUUGGUGGGGUGAUGGCCUACCAAGGCGACGACGGAUAGCCGGCCUGAGAGGGUGAUCGGCCACACUGGGACUGAGACACGGCCCAGACUCCUACGGGAGGCAGCAGUGGGGAAUCUUGCGCAAUGGGCGGAAGCCUGACGCAGCAACGCCGCGUGAGGGAUGACGGCCUUCGGGUUGUAAACCUCUUUCGCGAUCGACGAAGCUCCAUCUUUUGGGUGGGGUGACGGUAGGUCGAGAAGAAGCACCGGCCAACUACGUGCCAGCAGCCGCGGUAAUACGUAGGGUGCGAGCGUUGUCCGGAAUUAUUGGGCGUAAAGAGCUCGUAGGCGGUGUGUCGCGUCGGCCGUGAAAACCUGGGGCUUAACUCUGGGCGUGCGGUCGAUACGGGCAUCACUAGAGUUCGGCAGGGGAGACUGGAAUUCCUGGUGUAGCGGUGAAAUGCGCAGAUAUCAGGAGGAACACCGGUGGCGAAGGCGGGUCUCUGGGCCGAUACUGACGCUGAGGAGCGAAAGCAUGGGUAGCGAACAGGAUUAGAUACCCUGGUAGUCCAUGCCGUAAACGUUGGGCGCUAGGUGUGGGGUCCAUUCCACGGGUUCCGUGCCGCAGCUAACGCAUUAAGCGCCCGCCUGGGGAGUACGGCC
Molecule: ribosomal RNA, 877 nt
Filed under: uncultured bacterium
Lineage: Bacteria
Description: bacterial SSU rRNA
Rfam family: Bacterial small subunit ribosomal RNA
Source: RNAcentral